UACGAGGGGUGCAAGCGUUAUUCGGAUUUACUGGGCGUAAAGGGUGUGUAGACGGCAUGUUAAGCCUGUUGUUAAAUUUCCCGGCCUAACUGGGAAUAUGCGAUGGGAACUGGCGUGCUAGAGGAUGGAAGAGAGAAGUGGAAUUCCCGGAGUAGCGGUAAAAUGCGUAGAUCUCGGGAGGAACACCAAUGGCGAAGGCAGCUUCUUGGUCCAUUCCUGACGUUGAUACACGAAAGCGUGGGGAGCAAACAGG
RNAcentral lists this ribosomal RNA (253 nucleotides) under uncultured bacterium. RNAcentral describes it as "partial 16S ribosomal RNA". It matches the Rfam family "Bacterial small subunit ribosomal RNA", at positions 524 to 776 of the family's 1533-position model. The record is from RNAcentral.